UAGUCGUCUAUACAUUCUGGCG
RNAcentral lists this non-coding RNA (22 nucleotides) under Arabidopsis thaliana (thale cress). The record is from RNAcentral. Lineage: Eukaryota; Viridiplantae; Streptophyta; Magnoliopsida; Brassicales; Brassicaceae.